CUGCAAGGUGUUCCAGUAUGUCCUUCUGGGAUAACUAGAAAUGGAAGGCCAGGAGCUGUUAAUAGGUCAGAAGUAGUAGACUAAAGACUGACAAAGGACUAUGGUUUGUUGUUGUUGUUGUUGUUGCUGUUCUUUUGAGACGGAGUCUUGCUCAGUCGCCCAGGCUGGAGUGCAGUGGCGUGAUCUCGGCUCACUGCAAGCUCCGCCUCCCAGGUUGACGCCAUUCUCCUGCCUCAGCCUCCCGAGGAGCUGGGACUACAGGCGCCUGACACUGUGUCCGGAAUUGGUGGGUUCUUGGUCUCACUGACUUCAAGAAUGAAGCCGUGGACCCUUGCGGAAUCACUUUCUCACACUGUUUUGUCCAAUGUUUGGAAAACACUGUUUCAUGUAUUUGGUCUGGCUUCUCAUUUCUAGAGUGGAAAGCGUGAUGCUGAGGUAUUCCCUGUAUCUUCUUUGAACAAUGGGAUGGAAUGGCAUACAGCAGAAAUAAUGCUCUUAGUUUCUGCCUUGGACCAGAAGCUCUCUCUUCCUGUUACUUGGAGCCCUGUGUCUCCCUGUGAGUAGCCCAACUACCUUCCUGCAGAGAUAUCAUGAAUCUUGGGGAGCACACAGAAAGGAAGACAGCCCCCAGAAAUAGUUACUUGCUGAUUGCUGAACUGAGGGUCUCCGUUCCUCCUGAACUUGUGGCACAAUGUUUUCCUCGAUUUUUCACCAAAUGGACAUCUUCCAAAUCAGGCAGCUCACAUUGGCUUCAUUGGAGCAGCAAGUGAGUGGGCAAGAAAGAGUUCAAGAAAGAUGGUUCCAAAUAUAUGCAAGUCUUAGUCACCUGUAACCUAAUAUCAGUAGUGUCAUCCCAUCACCUUUACUGUGUUCUAGUCAUUAGAACCAAACUACUAGUUCCAGCCCACACUCAAGGGUAUGGAAUUACACAAGGGAAAGAAUACCAGGACGUAAAGAUCAUUCAUGACAAUUUUAGCAGUCUGUCUGCUACAAAUCCUUAGCUUUCCAGAAGUAUACAAAAGAAUUUUAGCCCCUCUUCGGUCAUGGAGUUAUCUAUCAAGAUUGAGUUACUCAAAUAACCUGGUAUAUUCUAUGAUUUCUCAUAUUAAACAUUCAAUUUAAUGUCAAUAAUCAAUCAAGGAUGUAUUUUGUCUCUUUUAGUAAGAUUUUCCUUCUUUGGGUUUAAAAAAAUCUAUUAAAGUUUCAAUAGAGUUUCUUGCAUGUGAUAAAUGUUUAAUAACUGAAUGCAUGGAGAAAACAAAAUUACACACUACUCAGACAUAUAUUGGUAGACAUUGGAUAUGUUUAGACUUAAAUGAUACUUUUCAUUUAAAUUAAAAUAACUGAAAGAAUUUUUUGUAUGCAUUAACUCUGAUAGAUAUGUAUGCUCAUUAUCUUCAGCUGCCCUCUUCGUGAUGAUGUCCUGUCUCUAUUAGCAUGAUUUGGUUAGCUGGCCCAAAGCCAGGCUACCUGUGUUCCAAGUUGACUAUGCAUUUAACUGGAUUCGUAAAUUUGAAAGGUCUUUUUCUAUGCUAUGCCUCUGUUUUCUCAUCCCACAUCCAUAUCCUCAAUUAAAUACAUCAACAAACCUCACUAUUAUUAACUCAAAAUGUAUUCUUAAUCCAACCAUGCCCAUUGUUUCCAUCACUAUUUCCAUGUUCUAAACCACCAUACAUUUUGGUUUAGGUUUUGUCAAAGGCCUUCAGACACUU
RNAcentral lists this long non-coding RNA (1712 nucleotides) under Homo sapiens (human). RNAcentral's name for it is "HSALNT0192408". Lineage: Eukaryota; Metazoa; Chordata; Mammalia; Primates; Hominidae. The record is from RNAcentral.